RNAcentral lists this long non-coding RNA (8924 nucleotides) under Sorghum bicolor (sorghum). RNAcentral describes it as "long non-coding RNA (SBIC_LNC010605)". Lineage: Eukaryota; Viridiplantae; Streptophyta; Magnoliopsida; Poales; Poaceae. The record is from RNAcentral.
AUUGGAGAUAAAGGAGACACAUGAAGUUUAACAAUUUGCACAAGGAAGACAUAGCUCAUUCAUCAUAGAGAGAUGAUCCAUGGAACGAGACGAAGAAUGCCACAAACACGAUGCACAACUGCUAAGAAAGGAAAGCUUCCACAAGGUAAUAUUGUACCAUCACUCUUCAAGUAAGGUAACAACUUAAGGUACUUGACUAUCACUUUUAAAAGUUUCUCCUUGGUUCUGGUGUUCACGUAAAAAAAAGAGACAAACACGUAUGAUUUGUAACUCCAAAUUAACGAACCCAACUGAUUCAACAUGUUUAGUCCUUUAAUCUUUGUUCCUAGUACUACCUCCAUGAUCCUACACUCCUAAUCAUAUAAGCUAAAAUGUUGCACAUUCAAUAUUUGGAAGAUAUAAGCAAAACAUAAAUAUGGAUAGAUUAUUUUUCCAUUAGGUUAAGCAAUCUGAUCUGACAAAUGUUUUAAAUGCUACACUCUUGAUCUUAUUAUCCAUCAACUUUGUCUUGCUCACUAUGCUUAAGGUUAGAGAAGAACAAAUACACUUUUGGUUCUGUUGGUGUUUUUCACCAACAGGGCCCAUGCACUUGAUCUCUGCCUUGUCUCUAUGAGUAGGUACACUUCGAGCAAAACCUGAAGGAGUUUUACAACUCUAGAUUCUUCCAAGUGAAGGACCUAGAUCUACGAGCACAAACACACUAGAGAUACUGGACACUCAGGUAAUCACUGCCUUGAGAUGCUUGAGGACGUAAAUUACAUCAACAACAACAACUACUACUACAACCAUCCUCAACAAAAUCAAGGUUGGAAUCAACAGAGACCUAACUACUCAGCUUGCACAUCGGACACUCAGUUUCCCAAAGGAAAUAUUGAAGAACCUCUGCGUCCGAGUUGGUACCUUGUACGCUCCAGCAGACUUCAUGGUGAUAGAGACUGGUACUGAUGAGAGGGCACCCAUCAUCCUAGGGAGGUCAUUCUUGAACACCUCGAGAGCUAUCAUCUACGCUAGUGCUGCCAAGAUCAGUUUCUACAUCAAGGGGAAGAAGGAGAUUUUCCUUCAAGAACAAGACUACAUAAAUUUUAGAGCAAUCCCAACAUGAACCAAGGAAGAGGACCAACAGGAGGAACAGGAACAAGCAAAUGUGGACCGAGUCAGCUAAGAUGGUCACUGCAGCUCAAGGAAGUCAAGAUCGUCGACUUAAGUCACCGUUCCUGACAAAAAAGGAUGACCCAAGUUAUUGAUAUGGGAGAAGACAAAUACGAUCCGCCCAUCAUCCUUGGGAGACCGUUCCUCAGUACCAAUAAAGAAAUCAUCUACAUUGGAACCGAAGAUGUCCACAUGCACUUCCCCUCUGAGAAGGUACGCCACUAUUUUAUUGACCUUAACUAUAUAGUUGAAGACUCUAAGCAGGUCAGGACAAGAAGAAGACGACGCAACCACAACAAGAGGAGGACGGAUGGGCAGACUACGAAGGAGAAGUAGUAAGCUCUGAAGACAUACAGCUUGAACAGAACUGUCCUGAGGAGACCGUAGCACCGAGUCAGGUAUGGAGAGAGAAGAUAGUUAUACACGAAGAGGAGGCGCCGCCGGAACCACCGACUACGCCAUCCAGCGAAUCCCAGGACGACUGAGAAAAUGAAGAGUCCCGUUCGGAAGACUUAAAAACACCGAACGCCUCGCCAAGAGGUAAACUUGGUAGUUAUCCUUUUCCCUUCAAUUAUUUGAAAUAGUUUGCUUAGUUAAUCAGGUUCAUAUCAUCUCGAAAAGAAAAUAAAAAUGUUAAAAAUAGUAAGCCCCAUGUGAAUAUGCUCAUGGCGUAAAACCCAUAAGUACAUUCACUGUGGUGGCGUAAAAAUAAAAUAAAUAUAUUCCUGUCCUAUAAAAAUAAAAAUAUAAAAAUAAAUUUAUGAUCCUACGAAAGAGAGUAACAUUUAUUGAGGAGGCUCAACAUGAUAAAGGCUAGAUAUUUAUGCUAACACUUAACCAGUUCCACAAAGCUUUGUUGUCUAUUUGAGCUCCACAGAAUUCAAGGAUCAAAGAACGAGCAGAUAGAGGACAUCCUAAUCGCUAUCAGGGUGCUGCCGACAUUCAAAUACACCUCCGCCACCUGCUAGCUACAUCAGAGGAAAUUACGUCAAAAUCUAGCUUGGGGGAGAGCACCCCCAUUUAUCCAGCUAAGUGUUUCUACUCGCGUUUAUACUUUACUCAAAUAAUAAAAAGAUGCAUAAUCAUGAAAACCCAAAUAAAAUUUUUUGUGCUUAUAUAUAUCUUUGCUUAGUUUGCUAAAUAAAUAAAUAAAGUGUCUAGGCCAAACUAAAACUAAAUGAUAAACUCUUGCAUGGAUAUGAUAAAUAGUUGCUCUGCCAUGUACCUAGUUUUCAAGUUUGAGCUCUCUCUCUCAAGUUUAGGCAUAACUGUUAUAAUUUAAACCUGCUCUAAACCUGAACUCGUGGGAAGAGUACUUGAUCUAAAGUCUAUGUCGUUAACGGAUACGAUAUGGGAAGGUUGAGCUGCUGUUUAUCUGUUCCUAGAGAUGCUAGAAUUCUGGAGAAUUUUUAUCUUUGAAAAUCUUUAAAAUAACACAUGAUGAGUUCCUGUAUGAUAAGAGUUUAAAUUCCUACCAUAGUUAUAUAUACAUGCUUGCUAGACUUCGAGCCACACAUUUACUUUUUACUCCUUAUGAGCAUUGAGUGUGGUCAAGCUGUGUAGACCCUUAGGAGCUUGUCAUGCGGUUAAAAUCAAGAUUCACUUGCAUGUUCACUCAUACAUGCUACUUCUACUCCGGAAGUACGCAUCCACAUAGAUCCACUCAUUUCCAUCUCCAGAGCCACCCAAAAGUAUUCUACUCCUAAUCCGGGAGAGAAUAGCCAAAAACAUUCUCCUAUUUCUGUUUUUCCCUAUGAAAUAAAUGCUCGAGUUAUCUUGGUUACUAUCACUUGCUAUAUUAUUUCAGGAGAUGAGUGCUCUAGUAAAAAAAGGGUGAAUACGAGGAAAUAAAAAGGGGCAAGUGCCCGGAACCUCGAAGGAAAGAAAAAGUGAGACGAGAGGUAAAAAUGGACAAGUGUCCGACAGUAGAAUUAGGUGUACAAGAUACCCACCUGAGAGAAAAAAAAAGAAAAUAGAGAGCAUCUCAUUCUCCUCAAAAAGCUUCAAAGUGCAAGAAAGGUAUGUAUCUCUUUAAAAGAGCAAAAGAAGAAUUAGACUUUCACCAUUGUUAUCACCAUCAUCACCAUACACCAUUCACUCGCCACACAUGCACAUCUUGAUUUGACUUAUUGACUUGUUUGUCUGGAUCCAUGGUUUGACUAUGCAAUAAAUGUCUUGUAAGUAUGUAUUAGCUGUCUCCCACCUAUGAGCUCCAGAUAUCAAAACCUUAUUAGAGUAGGAUGAGAGAGAAGGCAAUAUCACUAUGCCUCAUACCAAAAAUAUCACAUACUUUGAGAGAAGGCAUAUACCAUUACUGCCUUGGAAAGGAUCCAGAAAUACCACAAAAGAGAGAUUUGAGAGAUUCAUACAAGGAAUCUCUGAGUUUUAUUUGAAAAUCUACAAAAACUCCAGAGCUUUAGCUGAUCAAAGAACAAGAGACAAGGCGCUUGACUUGACCGUUCUAUCUUUUAACUGCUCGAGACACAAGUGACGGUUGCAAGCCCCAUGGAGUUAGGUAAAAUGAGUAAGUUUUAAGUCUUAACAGUUUACUCUAACUCAGAGAUGAGAUCUUCCUUGAAUGCAUGUGUACUUUUAAGGCACGAAACCAUUGUUUGCUCAAGGAUGAGCAAGAGGUAAGCUUGGGGGAGUUUGUUGACGGUCCUUAAGUACCAAAUAUAGUCAUCAAAUAAAUAAAGAAAAGGAUCCAAAUGCAACCAACACCCAGACAUAGGGUUUUAUCUGACAGAAUUCCACAAGUUUUGGUGUUUGUCUAUUUCUGCAGGGGGUUAUCAGGAAAUAUGGAAGAAAGGCCCACACGAUGGGUUUACAUAGAGAUAUUAAUGUACCGCGCAAUUUUCUAUCAUCUAGAAGACUCCAGAAGCCACGAGAACGAACGAGAAGGUGAUCGGGCCCGGGGACAGGGCGCCCGCCAUCCCCCCUUGGGCGCCCGCCCUAUUGGAGACACCAAUCAGGUCCCGUCUCACGGAUUAUGCUCCACCGACCUAAAGGAUCAAGGAUAACCGUUCAAUCAAUGUCGGUUUGAUCCUACGGCCCACGUUCACCUGAGGGGACUAUAUAAGCAGACCCCCUGACCCCUGGAGGAGAACAAGUUCAUUUAUAGAGUUGAGAGGUGCCCUCGAAGGAUAACCUUUCGUCUGCAUAUACUUAGGGCUUAGCAUCCAAUGUGAGAGUAGAAUUAGUUCUUCUAAGUUCUACUAGAUUGAGAGAGAUAGAGUGGAGGUGUAGAUCGGAGGAAGCCCGGCCUGUCGGUGUCUACCUGCGGGAUCAAGUGUCCUAACCCGAGGCUUGCUCCUAGGAUUCUUCAGUAUUUCAACUUCUAAAUUCUAGUAAGUUUUUGUUCUUAUUGUUCUUUGGUUUAUGAGUUUACUUUAAUCUCUUCCAGUUGAGUUUAGAGUAAUCAUUGCUAGCGUAAACGUGGUGUUUGGGCUAGGGUAAUCAUAGAUAUCCCCUAACUAGCUGGACCGUGGUAGUAGCGAGGAACGUGACAUUUCCGAGGUACCUUUGCAGCCCACAUCUCAUUAGCAGGAUGGGUACGGUUUAUAGGUGUGGGUCGAACAUCCUCUGUGGUGUCUAGAUUCUGUGAGCCUCCCUAAUAGAACAGUAGAUCAUCCUUACCAAGGUUAGAACGAGACUACGGUCGUAGUCUUCUCUAUACAUCGCUCACAUCGAAUCACAUUCUUUGUAGCCUAAUGGGUAGUAGCAAUAGUUUUGGUUAGUCAGAUGCACGCUUUCUCCUAGUGGUAAGAAUACAAAUACGAUACUCUGGAUAACCUCUUGGGUGAUGUGCUCACCGAUAUCCGUGCACUUGCGGAUCAUUUCCUGAUGGCGUUACCAAAUAUCAACAAGAUGAUCCAUGGAGGGUGCCACAAACACGAUGCACAACCGCUAAGAAAGGAAAGCUUCCACAAGGUGAUACUGUACCAUCACUCUUCAAGUAAGGUAACAUCUUAAGGUACUUGACUAUCACUUUUAUAAGCUUCUCCUUGGCUCUAUCGUUCACAUGAAUAAAAGAGACAAACAUGUAUGAUUUACAACUCUAGAUUAACCAACCCAAUCGAUUCAACAUGUUUAGUCCUUCCACCUUUGUGAUCCCACACUCCUAAUCAUAUUAGCUAAAAUGCUGCACACUCAAUCUUUGGAAGAUAUAUAUAAAAAAAACAUAAAUAUAGAUAGAUUAUCUUUCUAUUAGGUUGAGCGAUCUGAUCUGACAAAUGUUUUAAAUACUACACUCAUGAUCUUAUCACCCAUCAACUUUGUCUUGCUCCCUAUGCUUGAGGAUAGAGAAGAAUAGACAUACUUUUGGUUCUGUUGGUGUUUUCCACCAACAGAACCCAUGCACUUGAUCUCUGCCUUGUCUCUAAGAGUAGGUACACUUUGAGCAAAACAUGGAGGAGUUUUACAACUCCCAGACUCCACCAAGUGAAGGACCUAGAUCUAUAAGCACAAACACACUGAGCAAGAUACUGCCAACGCCGCACUUCAAACUGCUGGGCAAACAAAGAACAUGGGUGACACCGUAUCAAGAGGUGCAGACGUCAAGGUUCACACCUGAAUCAAAUGACACACCUGAAGGAUGAACACGGUGAGAAGUCUUGUUCAGAAGACUUAAAACUUUGAACCCUCGCCGAAAGGUAAAAUUGGUAGUUAUCCAUAUUUAUCCUUUCUGCAUUCCCUUUUCCCUUAAAUUGUUUACUUUCUUUAAAAUGAUUUGUUAGUUAAUCAUGCUAUCUUGAAAAGAAAAUAAAAAUGUUAAAAAUAGUAAGCCCCAUGUGAGUAUGCUCGUGGCAUAAAACCCAUAAGUACAUUAACUGUGGUGGUGUAAAAAUAAAAAUAUUCCUAUCCUAUAAAAAUGAAAAUAUAAAAAUGAAUUUAUGAUCCUACAAAAAAGAGUAAUAUUUAUUAGAGGAAGCUCAACAUGAUAAAGGCAAAGAGAUUUUUAUGCUAACACUUAACCAGUUCCACAAAGCUUUGUUGUCUAUUUGAGCUCCAUAGAAUUCAAGGAUCAAAGAAGACUAGCAGACGGAGGACAUCCUAAUCGCUAUCAGGGUACUGCCGACAUUCAAAUACACCUCCGCCACCUGCUAGCUACAUUAGAAGAAAUUAUGUCAAAAUCCAGCUUGGGGGAGAGCACCCCCAUUUAUGCAGCUAAGUGUUUCUACUCAUGUUUAUACUUUACUAAAAUAAUAAAAAGAUACAUAAUUAUAAAAAUCUAAAUAAAGAUUUUGUGCUGAUAUAAAUAUCUUUGCUUAGUUUAAUAAAUAAAUAAAUAAAUAAAUAAAUAAAGUUUGCUAUGAACCCUUAUGAUAAGCUCUCACAUAGAAAUGAUGAAUAGUUGCUCUGCCUAGUUCUCAAAAUUGAAAUCUCUCUCAAGUUUAGGCUUGACUGUUAUGAAUUAAGAUUUGCUCUAAACCUGAACUUAUGGGAAGAGUACUUGAUCUAAAGUCUAAGUCGUUAACGGAUAUGAUAUGGGAAGGUUGAGCUGUUGUUUAUCUAUUCCUAGAGAUGCUAGAAUUAUGGAGAAUUUUAUCUUUGAAAAUCUUUAAAAUGUUGCAUGAUGAGUUCCUGUAUGAUGAGAGUUUAAAAUCCUACCAGAGCCAUAUAUACAUGCUUAUUAGACUAUGAACCAUACAUUUACUUUUUACUGCUUAUGAGCAUUGAGUGUGGUCAAGCUGUGUAGAACCUUAGGAGCUUGUCAUGCGGUUAAAAUCAAGAUCCACUUUCACUUUCACUCAUACAUGCUGCUUCUACUCCGGAAGUACGCAUCCACAUACAUCCACUCAUUUCCAUCUCCAGAUUUACCCAAAAUUAUUCUACUCCAAUCCAGGAGAGAAUAGCCAAAAACAUUAUUCUAUCCCUGUUAUUCCCCGUGAAAUAAAUGCUCGAGAUAUUUUGAUUACUACCACUUGCUACAUUAUUCCAGGAGGGUGAGUGCUCUGAAAAAAAAGUGAAUACGAGGAAAUAAAAAGGGGCAAGUGCCCGAAACCUCGAAGAAAAGAAAAAGUGAGACGAGAGGUAAAAAUGGACAAGUGUCCAAUAGAAGAAUUAGGGGUACAAGAUACCCACCUGAGAGAAAAGAAAAAAAGAAAAUAUAGAGCAUCUCAUUCCCCUCAAAAAGCUUCAAAGUGCAAGAAAGGUAUGUAUCCCCUCAAAAGAGCAAAAGUAGAAUUAGACUUUCACCAUUGUUUUCACUAUUAUCACCAUCAUCACCAUACACCAUUCAUUCGCCACACAUGCACAUCUUGAUUUGACUUAUUGACUUGUUUCUCUGGAUCCAUGGUUUGACUAUACAAUAAAUGUCUUGUCAGUAUGUAUUAGCUGUCUCCCACCUAUGAGCUCCAGAUAUCAAAACCUUAUUAGAGUAGGGUGAGAGUGAAGGCAAUGUCACUAUGCCUCAUACCAAAAAUGCCACAUACUUUGAGAGAAGGCAUAUAUCAUCACUGCCUUGGUGAGGAUCCAGAAAUACCACAAAAGAGAGAAUUGAGAGAGUCAUACAAGGAAUCUCUGAGUUUUAUUUUGAAAAUCUACAAAAACUCCAGAGAUAUAGUUGAUCAAAGAACAAGAAACAUGGCGCUUGACUUGACCGUUCUAUCUUUUAACUGCUCAAUACACAAGUGACGGUUCCAAGCCCCAUGGUCGAAGGAAAAAUGAGUAAGUUUAAAUCUUAACAGUUUACCCUAACCCAGAGAUGAGAUCUUGUUUGAACGCAUGUGUACCUUUAAGGCAUAAAACCACUGCAGAAACUCUUGAGUCCGUCCUUGCUCAGGGACGAGCAAGAGGUAAGCUUGGGGGAGUUCUUGACGGUGCUUAAGUACCAAAUAUAAUCAUCAAAUAAAUAAAGAAAAGGAUCCAAAAGCAACCAACCCAGACUUAGGGUUUUAUCUGACAGAAUUCCAUGAGUUUUGGUGUUUGUCUAUUUUUGAAUGGGGUUAUCAGGAAAUAUGGAGGAAAGGCCCACAUGUCAGAUUUACAUAGAGAUAUUAACGUGCUGCGCAAUUUUCUAUCAUCUAGAAGACUCCAGAAGCCACGGGAACGAACAGGAAGCCGCGCGGGCUCAGGGACAGGGCGCCCGCCCUACUCCUUAGGGCGCCCGCCCUACUUUUUCGACCAAUCAUGUUCUACUUCGCAGAUCAUGCUCCACCGACCUAAAGGAUCAAGGAAAACCAUGCGAUCAAUGUCGGUUUGAUCCGACGGCCCAAAUUCACUUGAGGGGACUAUAUAAGCAGACCCCCUGGCCCCUGGAGGAGACAACCCCUUGAUCUCUAUUCAUUAUUCAUAGGCAGAGCAAAAGCUAGAGUUUAGAGAUGAGAGCUCUCUUCUCUUCUCUAAACUAGAGUAGAUCUAGAUAGUAGCGAGAUGGAGAGCGAGGGAGGAUUGGAGGAGAGGCCGGCCUGUCGGUUCUUCCUCCGGUUGUACUUCGCCGUGAUCAAGCUCUAAUGAAGCUUGCUCAUGGGAUGACUCUGGUAAUAUACUUCUAUUUCAUCAUGCAAUUACUAUCCAUGUAUGUUCUGGUUCACAACUCUUUUGAGUACUUUAAUCUAUAGGACGCUAUAGGUGAGAGUUGUAGUAUAGGUGUAAGCGUGGUGCUUAGACGUAGAUUACUUGUGGAUAUCCCCUGUCUAGCCGGAUCGUGUGGUAGGCCGCGUAGGUGAUAGUUACGUUGGUCCCCUGUAAUCCACCUCGUGUUAGGAGGACUGGUAGGGUCUAUCGACCUAUGGAUAAGCAUCCUUUGUGGUGUAUUCUUAUCACGUGGUUCG